This is a long non-coding RNA of Passer domesticus (house sparrow), 207 nucleotides long. RefSeq lists it as uncharacterized. NCBI's taxonomy places the organism in Eukaryota, Metazoa, Chordata, Aves, Passeriformes, Passeridae. The transcript has 3 exons. The record is from RefSeq and is a predicted model, not a curated record.
GCCAUCGACAGCCUGAACAUCACUGGUUUUCCUUUGCUGCAUGGAAACAGCAACUGACUGUGCUUCCUUUCACCUCACAAGAGCACAACAUGGGAGCUGCUGUCCAGCCAUGAAGCCCUGCCCAAGGAGGAGACUCAAAGGAUGAUGCAGCCAAAAUAAAAAUUUCCGUGAGGCUCUCGGCAGAGGCUCAGACAGAUUAAACUCAAU